UUCCUGUUGCCUAGAGAAGGGAGGGAUUAAGUGACUUGGCCAAGGUUACAUGUAGCCAUUAUUGCAUCAAACACAGAGCUUGAACCCAGGUCCUUUUGCCUCUAAGGCCAGCUCUCUAGUCACUCUGCCCCUCACUGCCUCUAUACAUCCAGAAGAAUCCUCUCAGUGGCAGUUCUUGUCCUUGUUUGAGGAAAGCUACCAGGGAGCUGGUUUAGUCAGACCAUGACAAAGCAUGUCCUGAAGUGACAGCUGAAUGUCUGAGGGCACACCAGAGUGUCUGAAGGCACCAUGGCUGCCACGGGCCCAGUUUUAUCCUUUGUGGAAACACGUCUCCAGAAAAGCAUCGUCCAGAGCCUCAGAGUUCCAGGGCUGGUGUUGGGUGUUUCGUGGGACAGAGAGCUUAGACAUGGUAGACUUCAACUUUGAAUUCUAAAAGAAAAAGAAUGGGCAGGUAUGAAGGCUGAUCCAUUCUCAGUUAAUUUAAGGAUUGUGGAAAACACAAGAGGUACCAAGAGAGCUACAAGGAGCAAAGAUUCCAAUUUUUUAAAAUAGGAAGAAAAAAAACAGUCAAUACACUGCAGGUGAAUGAUUUUAAUUUUGCUUGAUUUUGAUGCCUGGGAAAUUUCUUGAGUGAUUUCAUUAAAAAUUAGUGGGCAAAUGUCUAGAAAGAGAAUUAUUGAUUAAUCAAAUCUAUUAUGGUUUCCUUAACAAAUCAUGAGAAACUAAGACCAUUUCCUGUUUUAAGAAUUGAUAAAUUAAUUGAUGAGGGGGAGCCUCUGACUAUUGUUUACCUAAAUGGAUAAGAUGGCAAGAUGUGAAUUAGACUUUACUACAAAUAGAUAGAUUCAGAACUGUUGGAUAGUUGGACUCAGAAGCUGUAAUCAUUCAAUAUCAAAGUGGUAGAAAGGCUUCAAUGGAGAACUCCAGAGAUUUAUGCUUGGCCCUCUACUAUUUCACAGUUUCAUAAAUGGUUAGGCUAAAGGUCUGCUAUGAUUAUUAAAUUUCAAUGUGACCCAAAGCUUACAGACUUGCCUAACAUACCAGAUGAUAAAGACAAGAUCCAAAAAGAUUUUGACAGUCUGGAGCUUUGAGAAGAUACCAAUGAGAUGGAAAUCAAAAGGAUAAAUGUAAAGUCUUACACUUGGGUCUCAAAAUCAGUAUCAUAGGAACAAGAGGCUCCUGUUCUGAAGCACUUCUGGGGAUUUUACUGGACAAUCACCUCAGUAUGGUUAGUGUGAUAUUGUAGUCAAAAAAGCUACUGCACCUUGGGUUGUAUCAAAAGGGACAAAGCUUCCAGGAAUAGUGACUCUUGCUCUUCUCUGCCUUGUCAGACCUGAUUGGGAGUAUCCUGCUCAUUACUGAACAUGACAGUUUAAGAAGAACAUCUGUAAGCUGGAGAAUGACCUUAAGGGGGCAGAAGGUUGGUAAAGGGCCUCGAGACCUUGACUCUAUGCAAUUUAAUAACCCAUUUGGAAAACUGGUUAUUCUUAGUCUAAAGAAGAAUAAAUUGGCAUGAGUUUGGGGGAGACA
RNAcentral lists this long non-coding RNA (1530 nucleotides) under Monodelphis domestica (gray short-tailed opossum). RNAcentral describes it as "lncRNA (ENSMODG00000030199.2)". The record is from RNAcentral. Lineage: Eukaryota; Metazoa; Chordata; Mammalia; Didelphimorphia; Didelphidae.